GUAAGCCGUCACCUCCCCUCCUCUCUCUCUCCCUCCCUCUCUCUCCCCCUCUCCUGCCUUCUCUGGCCUCUAUCCGCCGACAACUCCCUAACGGUCUCCCAUCCACAUCCGACUAUGAUGACAUCUCUGCUAGGUGAGUUCUCUCUCUCUUAGUCCCCACUGUCUAUUCUGGAGUCGUCAGAGAGCUCGAAGCCCUUGUGAAGCCCAUGCCUCUCUUGUCUCUCCCUCUCCCCUAUCCUCCAGCCCCUAUCCUCCGGCAAUACCAUCUGAUGGCAUACUGUCCACAUCCCAGCCAGGUUGGGAUAUUGAUUGGAGGCUUGUUGUUUUAGGGACUGCUGACUCAUCUUGAUUUGAUUUGUUGUUGAUCAACAACUUUACUUGAUCAUGCCUUUGUUGAUGCCAAGUAGCAGAGCAGAAGAAUGAAGUUUGAAGUGAAUAUCUUUAAACAGGACUUUCAUCCUAAGGGCAAAAAACACGUGCAAGUUGCAUGAAGAUUUAAUGUUGGUGCUAGCAUUCUAUAUCCUGGAUUCCAUGUAAAUUUUGAAAGGCGAAUUCAGUGCAAGGAACAAGAUGGUCUUCUAAGUUCCGAUCAGGAAGUGACCUUUCCUUCAUCUUUUUGUGGAUAUUUUAUUUUUUGAGCAGAUUCUGAAUAUUUUUCUCUUAGUCUUGUGCAUGGACUGCUUGCUACAGAAUGUGUGUUUAUAAAGAGCUGAGUCCUCUUUGACUUAGUGGCUACCUUGUGCACACUGCAAGAAAUUUUCAGGUCAAGACUUGGUUCCUGCUAGUUUAUGUCUAUUGAUAAUGAAGUGCAGAAAUUUAAAGUGUAGAGCA
Molecule: non-coding RNA, 831 nt
Organism: Elaeis guineensis (African oil palm)
Lineage: Eukaryota; Viridiplantae; Streptophyta; Magnoliopsida; Arecales; Arecaceae
Source: RefSeq, a predicted model, not a curated record